Molecule: ribosomal RNA, 253 nt
Filed under: uncultured bacterium
Lineage: Bacteria
Description: partial 16S ribosomal RNA
Rfam family: Bacterial small subunit ribosomal RNA
Source: RNAcentral
UACGUAGGGUGCGAGCGUUGUCCGGAAUCAUUGGGCGUAAAGAGCGUGUAGGCGGCCCGGUAAGUCCGCUGUAAAAGUCAAAGGCUCAACCUUUGAAUGUCAGUGGAUACUGCCGGGCUAGAGUCCGGAAGAGGCGAGUGGAAUUCCUGGUGUAGCGGUGGAAUGCGCAGAUAUCAGGAGGAACACCAACGGCGAAGGCAGCUCGCUAGGACGGUACUGACGCUGAGACGCGAAAGCGUGGGGAGCGAACAGG